UACGGAGGGAGCAAGCGUUAAUCGGAAUUACUGGGCGUAAAGCGCACGUAGGCGGCUUGGUAUGUCGGGUGUGAAAUCCCCGGGCUCAACCUGGGAACUGCAUCCGAAACUGCCUUGCUAGAGUAUGGGAGAGGGAAGUGGAAUUUCCGGUGUAGCGGUGAAAUGCGUAGAUAUCGGAAGGAACAUCAGUGGCGAAGGCGACUUCCUGGACCAAUACUGACGCUCAGGUGCGAAAGCGUGGGGAGCAAACAGG
This 253-nucleotide ribosomal RNA is filed under the name uncultured bacterium. RNAcentral describes it as "partial 16S ribosomal RNA". It matches the Rfam family "Bacterial small subunit ribosomal RNA", at positions 524 to 776 of the family's 1533-position model. The record is from RNAcentral.